CUGAAAAAUAACCGAGUUAUCCAUGUUAUUUACUUACUUUCAAGGAAAGAGGGUUAGAAAUGAAUUUCUGUCGACAAUGUUACUAGAAUGUAUAAAAAGUCGUCAGGAAGUGAGGAGGUGCUUCGAAUUAUUAUAAAAUAUUGAUUAAAGUUGUCAUUCACUGCCAAAAAACCAAUACUUUUGUUAUUAUUGCCUUUAAUAUAGGACUAGGCCUAUUGCACACUAGCCUAUAAUGCUUAACCUAACCUGUCACACUGCAUAUCACUGAAAGGACAGGAGGCUUCAGACCACGAGAAAGGUGUUGACAAAAGAGAAAUUAGACCACCUAGACUUGCUGAGGUCAUUGAUGAAGAAGUUGUCAACAAGAGGAGACAAACUAGCAUUGCAAAGAGAAAGUAUCCCAUCCUUACUUUAUAUGAUAACUCUUCGGAAGAUGACAGGUCAUAGCCAAAACCUCACUUACCCUAAUAUUCAGAGGAUAUUGGUCCACUUGAUGAUCCUACUGCAGCACCAAGUACUCAGUCCUCACAAACAUUUUAUCUCUGUUGGUCCUACUACAAGUACUGCACCUUCAAGAGAGAUUGCAGAAGGUAUAUGCUUGUGUGUUGUCAUGGGCUAGAGCCAGUGCUGUUUGUUGAGAGUGAACAAUGGUUAGAAAUAUAUAUAGUGAGUAUUAGAGUGUAAGAAAAAAGGUAAUGGUAAAUGCUAAGAUAGUAAGUAAUAUUACAGAUUCACCUUCAAGAGGAUCUAUCUUGUCAAUUGGGUCUUCAGUCACUGACAGCUUGUCACAACAGAGUUACACAAACCCACAGGCACCAACAGAACGUCUUCAAGAAUACUUGACUUCGUGAAGAAUCAACACUUGCAGGACAAUCCGUUUCCUUUAAAAGGUUAUUAUUUUUAUUUGAUUUAUCUUUUUGAGUAAGCAAAGACUAAGGAAGCAGUUAGAAAUAGAAAUUUUGAUGAUGACCCUAGAGAAAAUCUAAGCCAGCUUUUCCCCACCUUUCUGACUUCUGCAGAGGAAGUGGAACAGUUUGAGAAAACACUCAGAAAAGCCUUAUAGAAAGUCAAUGGUUACUGAACUGGCUUCAGUGUAUGCAAAGAAAGAUGAGAAAACAGUGAUCCUCUGAGGGGUCAUGAGGAGACACUUCAUGACAAAAGAAAUUGAUGGGGGAGUAUUCGUUGAAGGAAUCAAGAAGAAAGAAAAAAGAAGUCUCUUUGAUACUAGUCAACAUGGAUUUAUUCGUGGCGUUGCCAAAAGAUUUCUGUCCAAACAAGAUAAGGAAGCUGACAUUAUGAUAGAUGGCACUAUUGCGGCCAUUCUCAAAUUUGCACCACAUUGGGAAGGAGGAGAGAAGUUUAAGUCAAGAUCAGAACCAAAGGAGAUCGAGGCCUCUCCAUCCGCCUCUUUUCUGACACAUAAAAUGCUACAUAACACCAUAAAUUUUUUUACAUGCUUGUGACUUGUGCUCCCUCUAUAUGAAUUCUUGUGUAAAUUGAUAAGUAUCUGUACUAUUAUAUACUGCAUUUUAUAAGUUAUUUUCUUUAAUUGGUUACAUUACAGUAAAGUGUCCCCAUAUAUAAAUUUAUUUGUCCAACCGAGAUAUUGAAAAAUUAUGUAUUACCCUUGUGGACAGAAUUAUGAAUAUAUUUAUAGACUUUACAUAGUUUAACAUCAUGGAUAUUUCAAUUAAUUCUUGGUCUUCCUGCCCUCGGAGUGGGAGUAAGGCAUCAUAGAUAAUUAGUGAUUUUUUAGGCUAAGGUGUGCAAUAAUAAAAAGGUUCUACAUGCCAUAUUCAUAAACAAAUUGUGUCAUUAUGAUAUCUAGUUGUAAUUCCAUUUCUUUUUAUGGAAACACAUUUUAAAUAGCUUAUGUUCUGAACUGUGGGGAGUGAUUCAUCAUAUGUUCUUCCACAUGUCCAUCUCUUAAUCUCAGAUACUGUUCCUUACCCCUCACACCUCUCCCUAACCUAUUCAUAACUCUUUAGGUUAAACUACCUCCCUUCACAUGUUCCCAAGAACUUAAGCUCAAUCACAUUUGUCAACUUUUUACCCCUCUCAUACAGUCAGACAGUCACUGGCAUUCCAAACCUUUCUAUUCUUAACUUGCUUAUCUUGACACUUUUAAGCUUCCAAAACUUUUCUGCUCUCGAUGGAAUAUCGAAACCUACAACCCGUAUUUUCCUUACUAUACAUCAUAUUAUUUACUCCUAUCAACAGUCCCCCUCUAUUUGUUUAUACUAUACACACAUUCAAACGUUUCACCAGUGCCUUCACCUUUUCCUUAAAAAUGUCCCACAUGAAUACAAAUGAAACUCAAACUAAAGCUAUUAAAAAUGAAGCAUUUGUCUCCUGCCUAAUCCCUGUCUUUCUGUGAAGGUGAGUGAGCCUGGUACACGUAUAUAGUGUACUUGGAAGUCCCUCUACCUGCUAUGUAGUUGCCACUAUAUG
Long non-coding RNA from Macrobrachium nipponense, 2451 nucleotides. RefSeq lists it as uncharacterized. The transcript is spliced from 4 exons. Lineage: Eukaryota; Metazoa; Arthropoda; Malacostraca; Decapoda; Palaemonidae. The record is from RefSeq and is a predicted model, not a curated record.